Long non-coding RNA from Chinchilla lanigera (long-tailed chinchilla), 475 nucleotides. RefSeq lists it as uncharacterized. Lineage: Eukaryota; Metazoa; Chordata; Mammalia; Rodentia; Chinchillidae. The record is from RefSeq and is a predicted model, not a curated record. The transcript has 4 exons.
GGAGGCAUCACACACGUCUUUAGAAGAAUCAGACUUCCUACCUUGAAAAGACAGAUGGAGAGCUGGGGACUUAACCUAGGGACUCUCACGUGGUAGCAUAGUUUCUAUGGAAAUACAGAUGGAGUCUAGAAGAUGACAACAGAUGUCUGCAGAUUCAACCACGGAGUCCAACCAAUUGAACCUGUUAUACCAAGUAUGCUGUUUUUACUAGAGUAAGGACUAACAUGGCCUAAGGCACAUGGUAUAUUACCACUGAGUUGGAGCCUACGUUCUUAAUAGCCCCAUCAAGAAGGAAGAGCAAAAGCAAGUUGAAUUCUCCCAAGGUAAACUCAAUAUGAUUACUACUGGCAUAAUUUCAACUGACUUCUAUGAAGAAGAUUUCACUGUCACCUGAAGUCACAGCCUGGAGCUGUCAUUAUGGAAAGCCCCCAAAAGGAGCUUGGAAUAUCUUGGGAGGAUUUCUUAAAUCGUAUGA